GAAGGCAGGGGCGGGGAAGAAUAAAUCAUUAUGCAGCUCUCAACCUCCACAGGGAAACAGCAGUACAAACCCACAGAUCCAGAAUUGUCAAGAAAUGGGGAUAUUUGUUUACAAGUCACAGAAUCAGUUAUGUAACUAGAAGGCAGGAAGAUGAAGUGUCCAUGAGACAAAGCAAUUCACCCUGGGGAUGUGUGGAAGAAGUUGCCAAGCCAAGAAGGGAACCAAGGAGGUUGGAAUUGGAGCCCUUUGUGCUUACAACUUAAGGAGAGACUCAUUCCAGGGCACCUAGCUGGCUCAGUUGGUGGAGCAUGCAACUCUUAAUCUCGGGGGGUUGUCAGUU
Neofelis nebulosa (Clouded leopard) is the source of this 340-nucleotide long non-coding RNA. RefSeq lists it as uncharacterized. The transcript is spliced from 2 exons. The record is from RefSeq and is a predicted model, not a curated record. Lineage: Eukaryota; Metazoa; Chordata; Mammalia; Carnivora; Felidae.